GAUAGAAUACCACCGGUGGAUCCAUUUACUUAGUUAGUUUCCCUAUCAAAUUCUCAUGAAAAACCCCUUUCAAUCACCAAACAAGGGAAUGGGACUAGGAGACUAUUUCCCACGUCCAAACCCUCCAGCCAACUCCCACUGCUAAUUCCCAUUCCCCUUCGCUGAGACUGCCAAACACGCUGUAACUCCUAGCGAUCUUGUCCCGCCGCCACCCACCUAGUUUUCUCCACAAGCCAAACCGCAGCCAAAUUCCCCCCACAGCUCGUGUCCCCAUGGACGCGUCCGCCUGCCCGUAGCCCGGCAUCAAGCAGGAGUAGCAGCUCCCGCCGCACCUGCCGGAGCCCCAAUUUCACCUCGCCGACCGGUCUCCUCGGAGCUCCACCAGCAGGCCGACCAGCAUCGCGCCCCUCUCCUGCUCCUCUUUCCUUCCUUCCCUUCUUNNNNNNNNNNNNCUCUCUCUCUCUCUCUUUGCAACCUCGAACAGGAGCAGCGAGCAACGCCAUGGAAGGCCACCGUCGCGGGCAUCAGCAGGGACCUUCUCGACCACUAGAUCUGGCGCCUCCACUCUACGCCCCUGCUAUUUGACCUCCCGACCUCCGAUGCGCGCCUCCCGAUGCAUGGCGUCGUCUUUGCUUCCUGUGCUCGAGCGGGAGCUCUCCAUGGCCACAGGAACCAUCGUCGCGGGCCACCAUCUCGUGACGGGUCUGGUCGGAAUGGAACUCCCGUUCCGCGCCACGCCAGGACACGGCCUUGCCCCCUCGCCUGCAGCUCGCCUUGAGCAACCCCCCGACCCUCUCCAUCUUCGGGCCAUGCACGCGGCCUCUGUUGGCCCCGCUGUGAGCAUCCUUUCCAUAACUGAACUUCGUGUUGCAUUCAGAUCCGUUCUGGCAUGUUAAGGAUAUUUAGAAGUGCAUGUAUUUUAUAAAAUGAGGACAUAUCUAGCCGAGUUGGCUAGCUCGGCAGUUCUGCACCUGCGGGAUCCUCGAUUCGAGUCCAAGUGGCUCCAAAUUAUGUAUAGUUUAAUUUUUUACACAGCCACACACCCAAGCACGUCGGCCGGAAGCUUCCACUGACUGCAGCCCAGUGCAUAGAUUCGGCCCGUUGCAUUUUUUUCUCUCGACGAAUUUGUCUAAUUAGCUCGAGCAUUUUAAAGUUACACAUUAGAUGCCUAUUUUAAAACUCCCGUAUCUUUCAAACCCGUCGGAUCGAAAUAAAUUAGAUAUGAAAAACGUGUAGAGUUUCGUGUAGAUUAAUAUUUCCAACUUUCGUGCAUAUCUAAAACUGUUUAACCUUUAUGUUGCAUCGUUUUGCGUGAUACCAUGUGAAAAUGGUUUAAUUCGUAGCUAGUUAACCGUAACUCCGUUGGAGAUGAGCUAUAUAUAUGUGAACCGACUAGAAUGACGUGUAGUUUCACGUGAACCACUUUGUUGUCGUUUAACAAAAAUAAAAUGUGUUUUGGACAUAUCUGGACAAAUUUCAAAGUCAACACAUGGGAUCGUCUCAGAAAUGCUAUAUGUCAUUUCCGGCCUCAUUUAAAAUGUCUAGAUAGGUAAUUUAUUUGUGCUUCACCUCUUUCCAUGUUUAAACAACAUUUAAUACUGUCAUGUAUCAAAACGGGAGUGAACUAAAUAACUCGUAUGUGGAGUUUCGUCAAUAUGCAACUCGUUACAUAUUGAGCUUCACUUAAUGUGUAGUGUUUGGCGGUUGUGAAUUGCUAUGCCAUGCCUUGCAUAAUUCAACUGGACAUGCAUCAUAUUAGGUUGUGCAUCAUAUCGUGCAUGUGACGUGGUGAAUGUCGUGUGUUGAUUCUUGUUUUCAGUUCGCUUCGUCUCAGUAGAGUUCCAUAAGCGUGUAGGAAUGUGAGGAUCCGUUCGACUACGUCGGUCCAUCUGCUUCACGGAUUCGUUCUUCUUCCAAGCGGGAUCGCAAGCAAGAUGAUAAUUUCCCUAUAUACCAUUACUAUCAAUGUCAUGCUAGUUGUCUCGUUUCUUUCAUUAUGUCUCGUUGCCUACCACCUAUUAAAUGUCAGCCUGUCAACAUUGCCAUAAACCUUCAACCUUUUUACAACCUAGCAAACCACUGAUUGGCUAUGUUAUCGCUUGCUUAACCAUGUGUUAACGUUGCUAGUUACAGAUGCAGUUGCUUCCAUGUGAAAACAUGGGUUCCUUGUUAUGUCCCCAUAUUAAUGCCAUUUAAUUUAAAGCACCUAUAUACUUGGUAAAAGGUGGAAGGCUCGGCCUUUCUAGCCUGGUGUUUUGUUCCAUCUUUACCGCCC
Molecule: long non-coding RNA, 2275 nt
Filed under: Hordeum vulgare
Lineage: Eukaryota; Viridiplantae; Streptophyta; Magnoliopsida; Poales; Poaceae
Description: long non-coding RNA (HVUL_LNC004522)
Source: RNAcentral